CUACGGGAGGCAGCAGUGAGGAAUAUUGGUCAAUGGGCGAAAGCCUGAACCAGCCAUCCCGCGUGUAGGAUGACAGCCCUAUGGGUUGUAAACUACUUUUAUACUCCACGAAACCUACGCUCGUGAGCGUAGCUGACGGUAGAGUAAGAAUAAGCAUCGGCUAACUCCGUGCCAGCAGCCGCGGUAAUACGGAGGAUGCAGGCGUUAUCCGGAUUUAUUGGGUUUAAAGGGUGCGUAGGCGGAAUUAUAAGUCAGUGGUGAAAUCCUACAGCUUAACUGUAGAACUGCCAUUGAUACUGUAAUGCUUGAGUAUAUUUGAGGUAGGCGGAACGUGUCAUGUAGCGGUGAAAUGCUUAGAUAUGACACAGAACACCAAUUGCGUAGGCAGCUUACUAAAUUAUUACUGACGCUGAGGCACGAAAGUGUGGGGAGCGAACAGGAUUAGAUACCCCAGUAGUC
Molecule: ribosomal RNA, 459 nt
Filed under: uncultured bacterium
Lineage: Bacteria
Description: partial 16S ribosomal RNA
Rfam family: Bacterial small subunit ribosomal RNA
Source: RNAcentral